RNAcentral lists this ribosomal RNA (500 nucleotides) under uncultured bacterium. Its description in RNAcentral is "partial 16S ribosomal RNA". It matches the Rfam family "Bacterial small subunit ribosomal RNA", at positions 30 to 523 of the family's 1533-position model. The record is from RNAcentral.
AUUGAACGCUGGCGGAAUGCUUUACACAUGCAAGUCGAACGGCAGCACGGACUUCGGUCUGGUGGCGAGUGGCGAACGGGUGAGUAAUACAUCGGAACGUGCCCAGUCGUGGGGGAUAACGUAGCGAAAGCUACGCUAAUACCGCAUACGAUCUACGAAUGAAAGCGGGGGAUCGCAAGACCUCGCGCGAUGGGAGCGGCCGAUGGCAGAUUAGGUAGUUGGUAGGGUAAAGGCCUACCAAGCCGACGAUCUGUAGCUGGUCUGAGAGGAUGAUCAGCCACACUGGGACUGAGACACGGCCCAGACUCCUACGGGAGGCAGCAGUGGGGAAUUUUGGACAAUGGGCGCAAGCCUGAUCCAGCCAUUCCGCGUGCAGGAUGAAGGCCUUCGGGUUGUAAACUGCUUUUGUACAGAACGAAAAGGCUCUGGUUAAUACCUGGGGCUCAUGACGGUACUGUAAGAAUAAGCACCGGCUAACUACGUGCCAGCCGCCGCAGUAA